UGGGAAAAAGUACCAAUAGGGUCCGCUC
This 28-nucleotide non-coding RNA is filed under the name Mus musculus (house mouse). Lineage: Eukaryota; Metazoa; Chordata; Mammalia; Rodentia; Muridae. The record is from RNAcentral.